ACCGCGAUAGCUCAGCUGGUAGAGCAUCUGCCUGGUAUGCGGAGGGUCGCCGGUUCGGCUCCAGCUCGCGGCU
Molecule: transfer RNA, 73 nt
Filed under: Fasciola hepatica (liver fluke)
Lineage: Eukaryota; Metazoa; Platyhelminthes; Trematoda; Plagiorchiida; Fasciolidae
Rfam family: tRNA
About the family: Transfer RNA (tRNA) molecules are approximately 80 nucleotides in length. Their secondary structure includes four short double-helical elements and three loops (D, anti-codon, and T loops). Further hydrogen bonds mediate the characteristic L-shaped molecular structure. tRNAs have two regions of fundamental functional importance: the anti-codon, which is responsible for specific mRNA codon recognition, and the 3' end, to which the tRNAs corresponding amino acid is attached (by aminoacyl-tRNA synthetases). tRNAs cope with the degeneracy of the genetic code in two manners: having more than one tRNA (with a specific anti-codon) for a particular amino acid; and 'wobble' base-pairing, i.e. permitting non-standard base-pairing at the 3rd anti-codon position.
Source: Rfam by way of RNAcentral